RNAcentral lists this ribosomal RNA (253 nucleotides) under uncultured bacterium. RNAcentral's name for it is "partial 16S ribosomal RNA". It matches the Rfam family "Bacterial small subunit ribosomal RNA", at positions 524 to 776 of the family's 1533-position model. The record is from RNAcentral.
UACAGAGGGGGCAAGCGUUGUUCGGAAUUACUGGGCGUAAAGGGCGCGUAGGCGGCCUUCUAAGUCAUGCGUGAAAUCCCCGGGCUCAACCCGGGAACUGCGUCCGAGACUGGAAGGCUUGAAUUCGGGAGAGGGAUGCAGAAUUCCAGGUGUAGCGGUGAAAUGCGUAGAUAUCUGGAGGAAUACCGGUGGCGAAGGCGGCAUCCUGGACCGACAUUGACGCUGAACGGCGAAAGCUAGGGGAGCAAACGGG